UGGGGGAAUUUUGGACAAUGGGCGAAAAGCCCUGAUCCAGCAAUGCCGCGUGUGUGAAGAAGGCCUUCGGGUUGUAAAGCACUUUUGUCCGGAAAGAAAUCCUUGGCUCUAAUACAGUCGGGGGAUGACGGUACCGGAAGAAUAAGCACCGGCUAACUACGUGCCAGCAGCCGCGGUAAUACGUAGGGUGCAAGCGUUAAUCGGAAUUACUGGGCGUAAAGCGUGCGCAGGCGGUUUGCUAAGACCGAUGUGAAAUCCCCGGGCUCAACCUGGGAACUGCAUUGGUGACUGGCAGGCUAGAGUAUGGCAGAGGGGGGUAGAAUUCCACGUGUAGCAGUGAAAUGCGUAGAGAUGUGGAGGAAUACCGAUGGCGAAGGCAGCCCCCCUGGGCCAAAUACUGACGCUCAUGCACGAAAGCGUGGGGAGCAAACAGGAUUAGAUACCCUGGUAGUCCACGCCCUAAACGAUGUCAACUAGUUGUUGGGGAUUCAUUUCCUUAGUAACGUAGCUAACGCGUGAAGUUGACCGCCUGGGGAGUAC
RNAcentral lists this ribosomal RNA (540 nucleotides) under uncultured bacterium. RNAcentral's name for it is "partial 16S ribosomal RNA". It matches the Rfam family "Bacterial small subunit ribosomal RNA", at positions 354 to 883 of the family's 1533-position model. The record is from RNAcentral.